GGAUGAAGAACGCAGCGAAAUGCGAUACGUAAUGUGAAUUGCAAAUUCAGUGAAUCAUCGAGUCUUUGAACGCACAUUGCGCCCCCUGGUAUUCCGGGGGGCAUGCCUGUCCGAGCGUCAUUGCUGCCCUCAAGCACGGCUUGUGUGUUGGGCCCCGUCCUCCGAUCCCGGGGGACGGGCCCGAAAGGCAGCGGCGGCACCGCGUCCGGUCCUCGAGCGUAUGGGGCUUUGUCACCCGCUCUGUAGGCCCGGCCGGCGCUUGCCGAUCAACCCAAAUUUUUAUCCAGGUUGACCUCGGAUCAGGUAGGGAUACCCGCUGAACUUAAGCAUAUCAAUAAGCGGAGGA
Molecule: unclassified non-coding RNA, 346 nt
Filed under: soil metagenome
Description: partial contains 5.8S ribosomal RNA, internal transcribed spacer 2, and large subunit ribosomal RNA
Rfam family: 5.8S ribosomal RNA (bases 2-120)
Source: RNAcentral